Non-coding RNA from Ictidomys tridecemlineatus (thirteen-lined ground squirrel), 71 nucleotides. NCBI's taxonomy places the organism in Eukaryota, Metazoa, Chordata, Mammalia, Rodentia, Sciuridae. The record is from Rfam.
GGGGGUGUAGCUCAGUGGUAGAGCGCUCGCAUAGCUGCAUGAGGCCCUGGCUUCAAUCCCCAGCACCCCAA